CCAAGCUGUAUGAGCUCAGCAUAAAUUUAUAGUGGAGAAAGUCAGAUGCACAGUGAGACUUUCUCCAACAGCGUUCAGAAGUUCUGGAGCAUUUUUGGAGGUAUCGAGUGAGCUUGGUGUGCCAGGGUUGUUGGGGGGGCCUGCGGCGUUUAAAUGUACAAGGUGCCAUGAUGUCUAGUUGAGAGGAGAGGGUGGAAAUGUAGAAGGAGG
Molecule: non-coding RNA, 210 nt
Organism: Pelobates cultripes (western spadefoot toad)
Lineage: Eukaryota; Metazoa; Chordata; Amphibia; Anura; Pelobatidae
Source: the annotation of a GenBank genome assembly